This is a long non-coding RNA of Euleptes europaea (tarantolino), 265 nucleotides long. RefSeq lists it as uncharacterized. The record is from RefSeq and is a predicted model, not a curated record. Lineage: Eukaryota; Metazoa; Chordata; Lepidosauria; Squamata; Sphaerodactylidae. The transcript is spliced from 3 exons.
CAGGUGGUGCCAUACCUUCUUUGCCAUCUCUUUGGGGCAGAGAGAAAGCAGCUUCCGUGCAGCCUGAUUGGGAUCUGGUUACUUUUGAGGAGGUCUCUGUUCAUUUCACUGAGGAGGAGUGGGCUCUGCUGGAUCCGGACCAAAGAAGGCUUCACAAGGAAAUCAUGGAGGACAAUUGUCAGAAUGUGGCGUCUCUGGAAGGACUUCUGGUUCCCAAACCUGAUUGCAUUUCCCCAGUGGAAGAAGCAGGAGAUCCACUUACCCA